AUUGCACGCUGGCGGAAUGCUUUACACAUGCAAGUCGAGCGGCAGCGCGGCCUUCGGGCUGGCGGCGAGCGGCGAACGGGUGAGUAAUGCAUCGGAACAUGCCCAGUCGUGGGGGAUAACACUUCGAAAGAAGUGCUAAUACCGCAUACGUCCUGAGGGGGAAAGCGGGGGAUCGCAAGACCUCGCGCGAUUGGAGUGGCCGAUGUCAGAUUAGCUAGUUGGUGGGGUAAAGGCCUACCAAGGCGACGAUCUGUAGCUGGUCUGAGAGGAUGAUCAGCCACACUGGGACUGAGACACGGCCCAGACUCCUACGGGAGGCAGCAGUGGGGAAUUUUGGACAAUGGGGGCAACCCUGAUCCAGCCAUUCCGCGUGAGUGAAGAAGGCCUUCGGGUUGUAAAGCUCUUUCGGCAGGAACGAAACGGUGGGCUCUAACAUAGUCCGCUAAUGACGGUACCUGAAGAAGAAGCACCGGCUAACUACGU
RNAcentral lists this ribosomal RNA (483 nucleotides) under uncultured bacterium. Its description in RNAcentral is "partial 16S ribosomal RNA". It matches the Rfam family "Bacterial small subunit ribosomal RNA", at positions 30 to 506 of the family's 1533-position model. The record is from RNAcentral.